UAUAUUUUGGUGUAUGAUGCACAAAAGCUUUUGAUGCUUUUAGGAAUAGUUUAAAUCUAUUAAAUAUAA
This 69-nucleotide transfer RNA is filed under the name Cephenemyia stimulator. RNAcentral describes it as "tRNA-Gln". Lineage: Eukaryota; Metazoa; Arthropoda; Insecta; Diptera; Oestridae. The record is from RNAcentral.